ACUGUGUGUCUUUAUGAGGUGUGACUGUGUGUGUUUAUGAGGUGUGACUGUGUGUGUUUAUGAGGUGUGACUGUGUGUGUUUACGAGGACUGACUGUGUGUGUUUACGAGGACUGACUGUGUGUGUUUAUGAGGUGUGACUGUGUGUUUACGAGGAGUGACUGUGUGUGUUUAUGAGGAGUGACUGUGUGUUUAUGAGGAGUGACUGUGUGUGUUUAUGAGGUGUAACUGUGUGUUUAUGAGGAGUGACUGUGUGUGUUUAUGCGGUGUGACUGUGUGUGUUUAUGAGGAGUGACUGUGUGUGUUUAUGAGGAGUGACUGUGUGUGUUUAUGAGGAGUGACUGUGUGUGUUUAUGAGGUGUGACUGUGUGUGUAUGAGGUGUGACUGUGUGUGUAUGAG
This 399-nucleotide long non-coding RNA is filed under the name Salmo salar (Atlantic salmon). RNAcentral describes it as "lncRNA (ENSSSAG00000099721.1)". The record is from RNAcentral. Lineage: Eukaryota; Metazoa; Chordata; Actinopteri; Salmoniformes; Salmonidae.